AAGCAAGAAAGGCCGGCAAUGCAACAGC
Molecule: small RNA, 28 nt
Filed under: Bombyx mori (domestic silkworm)
Lineage: Eukaryota; Metazoa; Arthropoda; Insecta; Lepidoptera; Bombycidae
Description: ovarian small RNA-4277
Source: RNAcentral